This 406-nucleotide ribosomal RNA is filed under the name Bacillus sp. OrAs10. RNAcentral's name for it is "bacterial SSU rRNA". It matches the Rfam family "Bacterial small subunit ribosomal RNA", at positions 76 to 473 of the family's 1533-position model. The record is from RNAcentral. Lineage: Bacteria; Bacillati; Bacillota; Bacilli; Caryophanales; Bacillaceae.
GAGCUUGCUCUUAUGAAGUUAGCGGCGGACGGGUGAGUAACACGUGGGUAACCUGCCCAUAAGACUGGGAUAACUCCGGGAAACCGGGGCUAAUACCGGAUAACAUUUUGAACCGCAUGGUUCGAAAUUGAAAGGCGGCUUCGGCUGUCACUUAUGGAUGGACCCGCGUCGCAUUAGCUAGUUGGUGAGGUAACGGCUCACCAAGGCAACGAUGCGUAGCCGACCUGAGAGGGUGAUCGGCCACACUGGGACUGAGACACGGCCCAGACUCCUACGGGAGGCAGCAGUAGGGAAUCUUCCGCAAUGGACGAAAGUCUGACGGAGCAACGCCGCGUGAGUGAUGAAGGCUUUCGGGUCGUAAAACUCUGUUGUUAGGGAAGAACAAGUGCUAGUUGAAUAAGCUGGC